This 421-nucleotide ribosomal RNA is filed under the name uncultured bacterium. RNAcentral's name for it is "partial 16S ribosomal RNA". It matches the Rfam family "Bacterial small subunit ribosomal RNA", at positions 362 to 775 of the family's 1533-position model. The record is from RNAcentral.
UCUUCCACAAUGGACGCAAGUCUGAUGGAGCAACGCCGCGUGAGUGAAGAAGGUUUUCGGAUNGUAAAGCUCUGUUGUUGGUGAANNCGNNNANAGGUAGUAACUGGCCUUUAUUUGACGGUAAUCAACCNNNANANCACGGCUAACUACGUGCCAGCAGCCGCGGUAAUACGUAGGUGGCAAGCGUUGUCCGGAUUUAUUGGGCGUAAAGCGAGCGCAGGCGGAAGAAUAAGUCUGAUGUGAAAGCCCUCGGCUUAACCGAGGAAUUGCAUCGGAAACUGUUUUUCUUGAGUGCAGAAGAGGAGAGUGGAACUCCAUGUGUAGCGGUGGAAUGCGUAGAUAUAUGGAAGAACACCAGUGGCGAAGGCGGCUCUCUGGUCUGCAACUGACGCUGAGGCUCGAAAGCAUGGGUAGCGAACAG